This 462-nucleotide ribosomal RNA is filed under the name uncultured bacterium. RNAcentral's name for it is "partial 16S ribosomal RNA". It matches the Rfam family "Bacterial small subunit ribosomal RNA", at positions 28 to 507 of the family's 1533-position model. The record is from RNAcentral.
GACGAACGCUGGCGGCGUGCUUAACACAUGCAAGUCGAGCGGAAAGGCCCUUCGGGGUCCUCGAGCGGCGAACGGGUGAGUAACACGUGAGUAACCUGCCCCAGACUUUGGGAUAACCCUCGGAAACGGGGGCUAAUACCGGAUACGACACAGCUUCGCAUGGGGUCUGUGUGGAAAGUUUUUCGGUUUGGGAUGGGCUCGCGGCCUAUCAGCUUGUUGGUGGGGUGAUGGCCUACCAAGACGACGACGGGUAGCCGGCCUGAGAGGGCGACCGGCCACACUGGGACUGAGACACGGCCCAGACUCCUACGGGAGGCAGCAGUGGGGAAUAUUGCACAAUGGGCGGAAGCCUGAUGCAGCGACGCCGCGUGAGGGAUGACGGCCUUCGGGUUGUAAACCUCUUUCAGCAGGGACGAAGCGUAAGUGACGGUACCUGCAGAAGAAGCGCCGGCCAACUACGUG